Nematostella vectensis (starlet sea anemone) is the source of this 73-nucleotide non-coding RNA. The record is from Rfam. Lineage: Eukaryota; Metazoa; Cnidaria; Anthozoa; Actiniaria; Edwardsiidae.
GACCGCGUGGCCUAAUGGAUAAGGCGUCUGAUUCCAAAUUAGAAGAUUGAGGUUUCGAGCCCCUUCGUGGUCG